GCCUCAGUAGCUCAGUCGGUAAGUCUCGAUAAAGAGCACUUCACUCGUAAUGAAGGGGUCGCGAGUUCGAUCCUCGCCUGAGGCU
RNAcentral lists this transfer RNA (85 nucleotides) under Candidatus Aenigmatarchaeota archaeon. RNAcentral's name for it is "tRNA-Thr". It matches the Rfam family "tRNA". Rfam says of the family: Transfer RNA (tRNA) molecules are approximately 80 nucleotides in length. The record is from RNAcentral. Lineage: Archaea; Nanobdellati; Candidatus Aenigmatarchaeota.